GACCGAGGCCUCAAGCGUUAGGCGGAGUCACUGGGCUUAAAGCGUGUGUAGGCGGACGCCUAAGUGUCUUGUGAAAUCCCCCGGCUCACCCGGGGAACUGCUGGGCAUACUGGGCGUCUUGGGCCAACUAGGGGCAACUGGAACAAGCGGUGGAGCGGUGAAAUGCGUAGAUAUCAGGAGGAACACCUGCGGUGUAGACGGCUUACUGGACCAUAACUGACGCUGAGGCACGAAAGCGUGGGUAGCAAACAGG
Molecule: ribosomal RNA, 253 nt
Filed under: uncultured bacterium
Lineage: Bacteria
Description: partial 16S ribosomal RNA
Rfam family: Bacterial small subunit ribosomal RNA
Source: RNAcentral